This 251-nucleotide ribosomal RNA is filed under the name uncultured bacterium. RNAcentral's name for it is "partial 16S ribosomal RNA". It matches the Rfam family "Bacterial small subunit ribosomal RNA", at positions 524 to 775 of the family's 1533-position model. The record is from RNAcentral.
UACGAAGGGGGCGAGCGUUGUUCGGAUUUACUGGGCGUAAAGGGCGCGCAGGCGGCUUAUUUUGUCAGGCGUGAAAGCCCCGGGCUUAACCUGGGACUGCGUUUGAUACGGAUGGGCUAGAGUUCGGGAGAGGAGAGUGGAAUUCCCAGUGUAGAGGUGAAAUUCGUAGAUAUUGGGAAGAACACCGGUGGCGAAGGCGGCGAGCUGGUCCGUUACUGACGCUGAGGCGCGACAGCGUGGGGAGCAAACAG